UACGUAGGGUGCGAGCGUUAAUCGGAAUUACUGGGCGUAAAGCGUGCGCAGGCGGUUUUGCAAGCCGGAUGUGAAAUCCCCGGGCUUAACCUGGGAAUGGCAUUUGGGACUGCAAGGCUGGAGUGCGGCAGAGGAGACUGGAAUUCCUGGUGUAGCAGUGAAAUGCGUAGAUAUCAUGAGGAAUACCAGAGGCGAAGGCGGCUACCUGGACAAUUGCUGACGCUCAGGCACGAAAGCGUGGGGAGCAAAAGGG
RNAcentral lists this ribosomal RNA (253 nucleotides) under uncultured bacterium. Its description in RNAcentral is "partial 16S ribosomal RNA". It matches the Rfam family "Bacterial small subunit ribosomal RNA", at positions 524 to 776 of the family's 1533-position model. The record is from RNAcentral.